UGGGACGUCCAAGAUCAAGAUGCUGACAGAUUUGGUGUCUGGUGAGGGACCACUUAUUCAUAGAUGGCACCUUCUAGCUGUCUCUUCACAUGAUGGAAAGGCCUCCCAGGUGUUCCCAGCUGCUCAAAUGAUCACCACCACAGAGGAAAGCUGUUUGGUGCACUCAAAGCCUGGAAGUGUUAGGGUGUCCCUGCGUCACCCUCAGGAUUUCCCUUGCUCAGCCCUCUUAAAGGGCCUUACCAUGAGGGCAAUGCUUAACCCAAGAAAAUAGAACCCGGACAGGGCUUUGUGGUGCAGAGAGGUGUUUUGUGGUCAGAGGCCUCUUGCCUGGUAAGGAACAUGUUUUCCUGCUGUCAAUCCAUUGCUAAAAUAAAUCAUCUUAAAAUA
This is a long non-coding RNA of Cynocephalus volans (Philippine flying lemur), 387 nucleotides long. RefSeq lists it as uncharacterized. The transcript has 2 exons. Lineage: Eukaryota; Metazoa; Chordata; Mammalia; Dermoptera; Cynocephalidae. The record is from RefSeq and is a predicted model, not a curated record.